This 497-nucleotide ribosomal RNA is filed under the name uncultured bacterium. RNAcentral's name for it is "partial 16S ribosomal RNA". It matches the Rfam family "Bacterial small subunit ribosomal RNA", at positions 28 to 507 of the family's 1533-position model. The record is from RNAcentral.
GAUGAACGCUGGCGGCGUGCCUAAUACAUGCAAGUCGAGCGAACGGACGAGAAGCUUGCUUCUCUGAUGUUAGCGGCGGACGGGUAAGUAACACGUGGAUAACCUACCUAUAAGACUGGGAUAACUUCGGGAAACCGGAGCUAAUACCGGAUAAUAUUUUGAACCGCAUGGUUCAAAAGUGAAAGACGGUCUUGCUGUCACUUAUAGAUGGAUCCGCGCUGCAUUAGCUAGUUGGUAAGGUAACGGCUUACCAAGGCAACGAUGCAUAGCCGACCUGAGAGGGUGAUCGGCCACACUGGAACUGAGACACGGUCCAGACUCCUACGGGAGGCAGCAGUAGGGAAUCUUCCGCAAUGGGCGAAAGCCUGACGGAGCAACGCCGCGUGAGUGAUGAAGGUCUUCGGAUCGUAAAACUCUGUUAUUAGGGAAGAACAUAUGUAUAAGUAACUGUGCACAUCUUGACGGUACCUAAUCAGAAAGCCACGGCUAACUACGUG